AUCUUCAGAGACUGAGAGCUGAACAUCAGGUCUGAUGCAGGUGUUUGGAUGAAACCAACUCAGGAGUGCAGGGGUGUACCUUUUUAAGAAAGGACCAUAACCAACAUCACUGUCUGGGUCUGAUCCAAGAAAAACCAUGUCAGGACUUUUGGGUGGGAGAAGACGGAGCCAUGAGCUGCCUCCUGACCUGUCUCGACUGAGGAAAAAUUUUGAUAAGCAUGCAGCUUCAUUUACCCAUAAUUUAGAGAAAAAUUACAACAGGGUGAAAUCUAUUGCAUCUGAAUUUCAGAAAAUAGCUGGUGAAGCAAGGGAGACGCUGACGACAGUUGCCAACACCACUACAGGGGGACUGGUAGCUGGAGGAGUGGGACUGGGGGCUGCUGCAGUUGGACUUGGAGUUCUUCUAGCUCCGUUCACUGGAGGGGCAAGCGUAGCUGCUGCAGCAGUUCUAGCAGGAGGAGCAGUAGGUGCAGGAGGGUUUGGUGUUGCUCUUUUUUCUAAACUGUCUGAACAAAUAAUCAAAAAUCUUAGAGGAAAGAAAGUGAAAAGCUUAGGGAGUGAAUUCAUUCAGUUGGCUGAACAGCUGAGGACGGACAUAGAAGAAAUGCAGGGAUGCUGUAAAAAGUUGGAGAUUUCAGCUCAAAUUCAGGCUGAACUCUCGCUCUCUGAGUCAUGGCUGUUUCAGAGGAUUCAUGGAAAAGUGACCCAGCAGAAACUGAUAUUAUCUGCUGAUCUGAUAUUAGCUCUGCUGGAGUUGGUAGACACACAUAUGAUCCUCAUUAACACUAUUGUCAAGUACACUCUGGAAACUGAAGACAGACAAAACCUCAUCAACUCUGUCUACAGGUUAGCUGAUCAGAGCCAGAGGUUCACUGAGGAGUGCAACACAAUGAAGCAGAAACUAGGGUAUGUUUGUCCACUGUGACAGUAAUGACUGUAUAUCCACCUCUCUGUCAGCUGCUUCCACGCCUGGAUCAUUUGGAGAGGAUGUUCUGAAACAAAACGGCCUUCCCUCAGACGUUAACACAACAAGAACAACACAAGAGAGCCAGGAUCACUUAGAGGACGUGAUCUUGGAUCGCUUUCAUUUGGAGCAUCCAUCCAUUUUCUAUACUGCUGGGGGUUGUGGGGGAACAGAGCCUAUCCCAGCUGUGUGGCUGGGUGAGAGCCAAUCACAGGGCUGACACAUAGAGACAGACAACCAGGCACGCUCACACUCA
Molecule: long non-coding RNA, 1220 nt
Organism: Cheilinus undulatus (humphead wrasse)
Lineage: Eukaryota; Metazoa; Chordata; Actinopteri; Labriformes; Labridae
Exons: 3
Source: RefSeq, a predicted model, not a curated record